CCAGAGGCCGGCGGGAGCUCCAGGUUCACCUCCUCCUCCUCCAGGAAAUCCCACUUCCAGCUAGAUGUCUGCAUGAACUACUGAAAGCUGCUGAGUGUCUUGCAGCAGGUGAGCUGUGGCCAGAGCUCAAGGAUGAAGGGGACUCCCUCACUCUGUGACUGUGAAGAGGAAGCCUGAGGUGUAGCAGGCCCAGGCCCCAGAAGUAUGGAAAAAAUGAGGUUUGACAGAAUUCAUGUUGCUGCCAUAGAGGGGCUCUUUUCAAACUGAUGUCUUAAAUCUUGUUCACGCCAUUUUCAAUCCAGAGGAAGACCUUCUAAAAGAGGUGAUGGAUGGGAGAGUGCUGACAUACUAUGUGAAGCUACUAUUUGGAGUUGGACACGAGUGCAUGUGACCUUGUGCCACAGCGGGAAUCUUGACUACCACACAAAUGAAUCCAUUCAAAUGUUGGCAAGUGGAGCAGAGUCCCAGGACAGAUGGGCAGGUGCUGCAGCAGCCCGGCUGGAAGCGAUGCAGCAUCCAGGACGACGGAGGAAGGGGCAGAGAGGGACCUCUGCUUUCCAGGCUGCCUUUUAUACUGCCUCUGGUCACCUGACGUGGAACGUACCCUAACCUAAUCAGUUACAUGAGGCGCUUGGAAACCACCGUCAAUUGGACCGCACUGGGAAACACAGAUGAACAAAGUCAACACCGCUUUGUCCUGCAGUGCCUGGCUCCUUUUUCAGCUCGUCUUGCGACUCCAGGUAUUGGAGUCCAGGGAGGGCCCAGUAAAGGCGCCAUUCCCCAUUUUACAGCUGGGGAAACUGAGUUACAGAGCUUGUCUGCACUGAGUCAUCAGGAGCAAAUGCUAGAUCAGAUAGGGUCUCUCUCUCUGCCACCCAGGCCAGAGUGCAGUUGACGCAGGGCAGGGGAGCCCCGAAGUGGAGCAUAGUGUGUCCGGAACUGGUGGGUUCUUGGUCUCACUGACUUCAAGAAAGAAGCCGCGGACCCUCGCGAAACUCCUGGAGGGCAGAGGCAUGCCUGCCAUCUUCAUCAUUGCAUUACCACCACCCAACACUAUCGGGGGACCUGCCCUGAUAAUCAG
Molecule: long non-coding RNA, 1081 nt
Filed under: Homo sapiens (human)
Lineage: Eukaryota; Metazoa; Chordata; Mammalia; Primates; Hominidae
Description: long non-coding RNA NONHSAT215437.1
Source: RNAcentral